UUAAAUGAAUUGACGGGACCCGCACAAGCGGUGGAUGAUGUGGUUUAAUUCGAUGCAACGCGAAAACCUUACCCGCCUUUGACAUGUACGGAAUCCUUAGAGAUAGAGGAGUGCUCGAAAGAGAACCGUAACACAGGUGCUGCAUGGCUGUCGUCAGCUCGUGUCGUGAGAUGUUGGGUUAAGUCCCGCAACGAGCGCAACCCUUGUCAUUAGUUGCUACAUUCAGUUGGGCACUCUAAUGAGACUGCCGGUGACAAACCGGAGGAAGGUGGGGAUGACGUCAAGUCCUCAUGGCCCUUAUAGGUGGGGCUACACACGUCAUACAAUGGCCGGUACAGAGGGUAGCCAACCCGCGAGGGGGAGCCAAUCCCACAAAGCCGGUCGUAGUCCGGAUCGCAGUCUGCAACUCGACUGCGUGAAGUCGGAAUCGCUAGUAAUCGCGGAUCAGCAUGUCGCGGUGAAUACGUUCCCGGGUCUU
RNAcentral lists this ribosomal RNA (478 nucleotides) under uncultured Acidovorax sp. RNAcentral describes it as "bacterial SSU rRNA". It matches the Rfam family "Bacterial small subunit ribosomal RNA", at positions 901 to 1382 of the family's 1533-position model. Lineage: Bacteria; Pseudomonadati; Pseudomonadota; Betaproteobacteria; Burkholderiales; Comamonadaceae. The record is from RNAcentral.